This 263-nucleotide ribosomal RNA is filed under the name uncultured bacterium. Its description in RNAcentral is "partial 16S ribosomal RNA". It matches the Rfam family "Bacterial small subunit ribosomal RNA", at positions 793 to 1055 of the family's 1533-position model. The record is from RNAcentral.
GUCCAUGCCGUAAACGAUGCUAGCUGGGUGUUCAGGGGGGAAACCCCUCGGGGUACCGAAGUCAACACGGUAAGCUAGCCGCCUGGGGAGUACGGUCGCAAGAUUAAAACUCAAAGGAAUUGACGGGGCCCGCACAAGCAGCGGAGCGUGUGGUUUAAUUCGAGGCUACACGAAGAACCUUACCUGGGUUUGACAUACAAGUAGUAGUGAAGCGAAAAGCGGAACGACCUUCGGAGCUUGUACAGGUGCUGCAUGGCUGUCGU